GACGAACGCUGGCGGCGUGCUUAACACAUGCAAGUCGAACGGAAAGGCCCCUUUGGGGGUACUCGAGUGGCGAACGGGUGAGUAACACGUGAGUAACCUGCCCUUGACUUCGGGAUAACUUCAGGAAACUGGGGCUAAUACCGGAUAGGAAUCCUUGCUGCAUGGUGGGGGUUGGAAAGCUUCGGCGGUUUUUGAUGGACUCGCGGCUUAUCAGCUUGUUGGUGGGGUAGUGGCUUACCAAGGCUUUGACGGGUAGCCGGCCUGAGAGGGCGACCGGCCACAUUGGGACUGAGAUACGGCCCAGACUCCUACGGGAGGCAGCGGUGGGGAAUAUUGCACAAUGGGCGGAAGCCUGAUGCAGCAACGCCGCGUGCGGGAUGACGGCCUUCGGGUUGUAAACCGCUUUCAGCAGGGGCGAAGCUUGUGGUGACGGUACCUGCAGAAGAAGCACCGGCUAACUACGUG
RNAcentral lists this ribosomal RNA (465 nucleotides) under uncultured bacterium. RNAcentral describes it as "partial 16S ribosomal RNA". It matches the Rfam family "Bacterial small subunit ribosomal RNA", at positions 28 to 507 of the family's 1533-position model. The record is from RNAcentral.